Molecule: transfer RNA, 89 nt
Filed under: Ignavibacteriota bacterium
Lineage: Bacteria; Pseudomonadati; Ignavibacteriota
Description: Ignavibacteriae bacterium (bioreactor metagenome) tRNA-Ser
Rfam family: tRNA
About the family: Transfer RNA (tRNA) molecules are approximately 80 nucleotides in length. Their secondary structure includes four short double-helical elements and three loops (D, anti-codon, and T loops). Further hydrogen bonds mediate the characteristic L-shaped molecular structure. tRNAs have two regions of fundamental functional importance: the anti-codon, which is responsible for specific mRNA codon recognition, and the 3' end, to which the tRNAs corresponding amino acid is attached (by aminoacyl-tRNA synthetases). tRNAs cope with the degeneracy of the genetic code in two manners: having more than one tRNA (with a specific anti-codon) for a particular amino acid; and 'wobble' base-pairing, i.e. permitting non-standard base-pairing at the 3rd anti-codon position.
Source: RNAcentral
GGAAAGGUGCCAGAGUGGUUGAAUGGGGCGGUCUCGAAAACCGUUGAGCGUCUUUCGGCGCUCCGAGGGUUCGAAUCCCUCCCUUUCCG